AACGAACGCUGGCGGCGUGCUUAACACAUGCAAGUCGAACGUGAAAGCCCUUCGGGGUGAUUAAAGUGGCGCACGGGUGAGUAAUACAUAGGAAUGUACCUACUAGUGGGGGAUAACCACGGGAAACUGUGGCUAAUACCGCAUGAAAUCUACGGAUCAAAGGGAGCCAAUACUUGUAAGCUUCUGCUAGUAGAGCAGCUUAUGUCCCAUUAGCUUGUUGGUAGGGUAAAGGCCUACCAAGGCUAUGAUGGGUAGCUGGUCUGAGAGGAUGAUCAGCCACACUGGAACUGAGACACGGUCCAG
RNAcentral lists this ribosomal RNA (303 nucleotides) under uncultured bacterium. RNAcentral describes it as "bacterial SSU rRNA". It matches the Rfam family "Bacterial small subunit ribosomal RNA", at positions 29 to 334 of the family's 1533-position model. The record is from RNAcentral.